CAGGGAGACAUCACUGAUUUUGAUGCCUAAAUAUUUUUUUAGGCCAUAAUCCUGUCACCUUAAGGUCGAUCGGUACCUCACUUAGAUUUUCCAGAACAAAGAAAUUUGUUUUAGAACUUUUGAAUUCAGUUCCUAAACUUUGUCUAGGUCACACCCAACAUGGGUACUCCUGGGCCAUUAGCUCAGGUGGUUAGAGCGCACCCCUGAUAAGGGUGAGGUCCCUGGUUCAAGUCCAGGAUGGCCCAUUCUAAUUUGGGGGUAUAGCUCAGUUGGUAGAGCGCCUGCUUUGUAAGCAGGAUGUCAGCGGUUCGAGUCCGCUUACCUCCACUGAUCAAACUCCUAAUGACGAACCCCAAGGAUAUUUGUGUCGCUGUGAUCUAGCAUAUGUUCUAUAUGAAUGAACCUAGCUUCUUGUCAUUCCUCAAGACGAUAGUUUUUUGUAUGGCUGAUAAGACGCUGGGCUCCCUGCAAUCUUCAUUGCAGAGAUGUUCAGCAGAACCUUGACAACUGCAUAGUGAAGUCUGGAAAGAAUAAAGCAUCUCAUGGAUGCAUUAUCUUUUUAUUCAACUAGUUAGUCCACUGAUUAAUUCAGAGGUUAACUAAAUUGAUUUAAAAUUAUAAUGUUCAAUUCUUGAGCAAGAGCUGAGACUCUAAAUACGCUCUUUCAUUACUUAGUAAUGAAAGUUAGAUUUUUAAUAUAAUUUUUGCUUUUAAAUAGUACGAAUUUUCAUAUUAUUUAAAUUCAAGAAUAACAAUAAAUUAAAGAGAAAAGUGCUAACAACACAGGCGUUUUAGAGAUUAAU
This 803-nucleotide transfer RNA is filed under the name uncultured cyanobacterium. RNAcentral describes it as "partial miscellaneous RNA". The stretch from base 255 to 327 matches the Rfam family "tRNA". Lineage: Bacteria; Bacillati; Cyanobacteriota. The record is from RNAcentral.